ACUAAAAUGGCUGAAAUCUAAGGCGGUAAAUUGUAAAUUUACUUAUGAAUUUAAAUUCUUUUAGUA
RNAcentral lists this transfer RNA (66 nucleotides) under Zorka agnesae. RNAcentral describes it as "tRNA-Tyr". It matches the Rfam family "tRNA". Rfam says of the family: Transfer RNA (tRNA) molecules are approximately 80 nucleotides in length. Their secondary structure includes four short double-helical elements and three loops (D, anti-codon, and T loops). Lineage: Eukaryota; Metazoa; Arthropoda; Insecta; Hemiptera; Cicadellidae. The record is from RNAcentral.